RNAcentral lists this ribosomal RNA (458 nucleotides) under uncultured bacterium. Its description in RNAcentral is "partial 16S ribosomal RNA". It matches the Rfam family "Bacterial small subunit ribosomal RNA", at positions 338 to 795 of the family's 1533-position model. The record is from RNAcentral.
CCUACGGGAGGCAGCAGUGGGGAAUAUUGCACAAUGGGGGAAACCCUGAUGCAGCGACGCCGCGUGAGUGAAGAAGUAAUUCGUUACGUAAAGCUCUAUCAGCAGGGAAGAAAUACUGACCUUACGGUCAGCAGACGGUACCUGCAAAGGAAGCACCGGCUAACUCCGUGCCAGCAGCCGCGGUAAUACGGAGGGUGCGAGCGUUAAUCGGAAUUACUGGGCGUAAAGCGCUCGUAGGCGGUAUGUCAAGUCAAGGGUGAAAUCCCCGCGCUCAACGUGGGAACUGCCUUUGAAACUGGCAAACUGGAGUGUGUGAGAGGAUAGUGGAAUGCCAGGUGUAGGAGUGAAAUCCGUAGAUAUCUGGAGGAACAUCAGUGGCGAAGGCGACUAUCUGGCACAUAACUGACGCUGAGGAGCGAAAGCGUGGGUAGCAAACAGGAUUAGAUACCCUUGUAGUC